Molecule: ribosomal RNA, 498 nt
Filed under: uncultured bacterium
Lineage: Bacteria
Description: partial 16S ribosomal RNA
Rfam family: Bacterial small subunit ribosomal RNA
Source: RNAcentral
GGAUGAACGCUGGCGGCGUGCCUACUACAUGCAAGUCGAGCGAACGGCCGAGAAGCUUGCUUCUCUGAUGUUAGCGGCGGACGGGAGAGUAACACGUGGAUAACCUACCUAUAAGACUGGGAUAACUUCGGGAAACCGUAGCUAAUACCGGAUAAUAUUUUGAACCGCAUGGUUCAAAAGUGAAAGACGGUCUUGCUGUCACUUAUAGAUGGAUCCGCGCUGCAUUAGCUAGUUGGUAAGGUAACGGCUUACCAAGGCAACGAUGCAUAGCCGACCUGAGAGGGUGAUCGGCCACACUGGAACUGAGACACGGUCCAGACUCCUACGGGAGGCAGCAGUAGGGAAUCUUCCGCAAUGGGCGAAAGCCUGACGGAGCAACGCCGCGUGAGUGAUGAAGGUCUUCGGAUCGUAAAACUCUGUUAUUAGGGAAGAACAUAUGUGUAAGUAACUGUGCACAUCUUGACGGUACCUAAUCAGAAAGCCACGGCUAACUACGUG